CACAUCGACGGGGAGGUUUGGCACCUCGAUGUCGGCUCAUCGCAUCCUGGGGCUGUAGUCGGUCCCAAGGGUUGGGCUGUUCGCCCAUUAAAGCGGUACGCGAGCUGGGUUCAGAACGUCGUGAGACAGUUCGGUCCCUAUCCGUCGUGGGCGUAGGAAAUUUGAGAGGAGCUGUCCUUAGUACGAGAGGACCGGGAUGGACAUACCUCUGGUGUACCAGUUGUCGUGCCAACGGCAUAGCUGGGUAGCUAUGUGUGGACGGGAUAAGUGCUGAAAGCAUCUAAGCAUGAAGCCCCCCUCAAGAUGAGAUUUCCCAACUUCGGUUAUAAGAUCCCUCAAAGAUGAUGAGGUUAAUAGGUUCGAGGUGGAAGCAUGGUGACAUGUGGAGCUGACGAAUACUAAUCGAUCGAAGACUUAAUCAAAUU
This 425-nucleotide ribosomal RNA is filed under the name Staphylococcus aureus. RNAcentral's name for it is "partial 23S ribosomal RNA". It matches the Rfam family "Bacterial large subunit ribosomal RNA", at positions 2501 to 2925 of the family's 2925-position model. The record is from RNAcentral. Lineage: Bacteria; Bacillati; Bacillota; Bacilli; Caryophanales; Staphylococcaceae.